Molecule: long non-coding RNA, 1529 nt
Filed under: Chinchilla lanigera (long-tailed chinchilla)
Lineage: Eukaryota; Metazoa; Chordata; Mammalia; Rodentia; Chinchillidae
Description: lncRNA (ENSCLAG00000025595.1)
Source: RNAcentral
UUCUCUGUUCAGCCUCUGCCAACUGGAGACAUCAGAUCUUUGAAGCUUCAGCCUUAAGCUGACUGGUUCCAAGACAAACAGUAGCUCUAAGGGCUCCAGGACAGCUACUGGGGAGAGCUGGAAUGCAUCUACUGCCUCAGUGUGGCCUUGGCCUGGGCACCUGCCCUUGCCUUCCUCAACCACUGCCUCGCAGUGGCUGUGAGACACACAGGAAGGACUGGGCACACCCAGCAGGGAAGCUGUUCCUCAGACAGCGGCCUGCUUACCAAACACCCAGAACCACAACAUCCACACCAGGAAUCCCAGGGAGAAGAACGUACAAGAAAUUUCUUAAGCCAUGGAAUGAAUCAAAAAUGGCUGUCAGCAGGGUCCUGUGUAUCAGAAAACUUCACUAAGACGAAGCUGCCUUUUUGCACACACAGCAAUGCAAGGCACCAGAUCCAUGGAGGAGAAUACUGAGCUGGUGUGGAGAGGAAGACUGCUGUUCUGAGAAAUGCCUUCAACACUCCACCCAUGUCAUUUUCUCAGGCUUCCAAGCUCUGUGCUUAACAUUGCACUAUACCAUCUCUUUGGGGUUGAAGCCUUUGAGCCAGGAGGCCACAAACACGAUGGCAAUUGCUGGUCCUGCUCCAUAGGGUCCAAGCAUCACUUGCUACCUUGGUACCCAGCCACCUACAACUGGAAGGAGGGAAGUAGGUUUGAAGAUGAGGCGUGCAAGGUGAGCCCAGAGCAGAGCCCUCAUCUGGGGCCAUGGAGAGCUGCACAUCAGCCCUCUGAAAUGAAGACAAGCUGGCUGGCUGUGAGAGCAGUUAUGGGCCAGUGAGAGUCUUAGCAACUUGACCUUGGGAGAAAAUAAGCUGCAAGUCCAGAACAACUGCUUUUUUUGCUGAAGAUGAAAGUUUAGCAACAAGAAAGCAUGAAGCCCAGGGCACGAUUGCAAAGAAGAGCUAGCCAGUUGAAUUCUGUAUCUGCUGAAUAAGUAUUUAUUGAAUGACUAUGUAAAUGCAGCAGAAAAAGAAUAGUAAUACAUGCGCAACAUUGGUAAGUGGCCCAGGGAAGUUCAUCUUUGCAGGUGGACACACAAAUAAGGCCUCUAUUGUUUUCUUUUAAAGGUCCUUCCUUUCUCAUGACUGUUUACCUUGCCAUAUCUGCAUUGUGGAAAAAGUUAAAAGGGCCAUGACCUACGUUCCCCCUUCUUACACAUCUGAGCCAUUUCCAAGUCAUCUUCAGUGCAUUGAGCAGAGAGACCAUUUACCUCCUGCAGGGGUCUUGCAUGCUGACCUAGAAGGGACCUAACAGAUGAUGGAAACUGAUUUACCUGUAUACAGAAACCAAAAUCUAGGAAUAAAGAAAUUUUCCCAAGGUCCCUCAGCAUGGUUCUCCUCUUUGGCCAUUUUCUCCUGUUCAGUUUAGAGUUUACUGUUAGUGUCUUAGAGAAGGGGUAUACUGACCAUACAUAUAUUAAGAAGAAUAAACAAAGACACACAAGUGUCAGGUCUUGGACACUGCCUAUUCCUAAUAAAAUGAAA